RNAcentral lists this ribosomal RNA (400 nucleotides) under uncultured bacterium. RNAcentral's name for it is "bacterial SSU rRNA". It matches the Rfam family "Bacterial small subunit ribosomal RNA", at positions 355 to 752 of the family's 1533-position model. The record is from RNAcentral.
UAGGGAAUAUUGGGCAAUGGAAGGAAUUCUGACCCAGCCAUGCCGCGUGCAGGAUGAAGGCGCUCUGCGUUGUAAACUGCUUUUAAAGAGGAAGAAAAUGCCCUGUUUACAGGGUACUGACGGUACUUUUGGAAUAAGCACCGGCUAACUCCGUGCCAGCAGCCGCGGUAAUACGGAGGGUGCGAGCGUUAUCCGGAAUCACUGGGUUUAAAGGGUGCGUAGGCUGUAUGAUAAGUCAGUGGUGAAAUCUCAUCGCUUAACGAUGGACUUGCCAUUGAUACUGUUGUACUUGAAUAGAGUUGAGGUAUGCGGAAUGUGACAUGUAGCGGUGAAAUGCAUAGAUAUGUCAUAGAACACCGAUUGCGAAGGCAGCAUACUGGACUUUUAUUGACGCUGAGGC